Molecule: unclassified non-coding RNA, 89 nt
Filed under: Pseudomonas brassicacearum
Lineage: Bacteria; Pseudomonadati; Pseudomonadota; Gammaproteobacteria; Pseudomonadales; Pseudomonadaceae
Source: RNAcentral
UGUGGGAGCGAGCUUGCUCGCGAUAGCGGUGUGUCAGAAACAUAGAUGCUGACUGAUACUCCACUAUCGUGAGCAAGCUCGCUCCCACA